AGAGUUUGAUCAUGGCUCAGGACGAACGCUGGCGGCGUGCUUAACACAUGCAAGUCGAACGGUGAAGCCUUCGGGUGGAUCAGUGGCGAACGGGUGAGUAACACGUGGGCAAUCUGCCCUGCACUCUGGGACAAGCCCUGGAAACGGGGUCUAAUACCGGAUACGACCACCUUGGGCAUCCUUGGUGGUGGAAAGCUCCG
RNAcentral lists this ribosomal RNA (200 nucleotides) under uncultured bacterium. RNAcentral describes it as "partial 16S ribosomal RNA". It matches the Rfam family "Bacterial small subunit ribosomal RNA", at positions 8 to 212 of the family's 1533-position model. The record is from RNAcentral.